This 179-nucleotide unclassified non-coding RNA is filed under the name uncultured fungus. RNAcentral's name for it is "sequence contains ITS1". The record is from RNAcentral. Lineage: Eukaryota; Fungi.
GUAUUUUGAAUUGUUUAUUCAUAAUAUUUUUCAGACAAAGAGUUAAAAGAUAAAGGUUGAUGUUUGGUCGAUCUCCAAGAAGAAGAUCGACUGACAUUGCACACAAGGUGGAUAUGGAUUUAAAAAGUGCCAUAAAACACUUAUUAUGAAUGAUCCUUCCGCAGGUUCACCUACGGAAA